Molecule: long non-coding RNA, 1020 nt
Filed under: Oncorhynchus mykiss (rainbow trout)
Lineage: Eukaryota; Metazoa; Chordata; Actinopteri; Salmoniformes; Salmonidae
Description: lncRNA (ENSOMYG00000061977.1)
Source: RNAcentral
AUGGUGGAAAAUAAGUAUUUGUUCAAUAACAAAAGUUUCUCAAUACUUUGUUAUAUACCCUUUGUCAUUGCCAACAGAGGUCAAAUUUUGGCCCAUUCCUCCAUGCAGAUCUCCUCUAGAGCAGUGAUGUUUUGGGGCUGUUGCUGGGCAACACGGACUUUCAACUCCCUCCAAAGAUUUUCUAUGGGGUCGAGAUCUGGAGACUGGCUAGGCCACUCCAGGACCUUGAAAUGCUUCAUACGAAGCCCGGGCGGUGUGUUUGGGAUCAUUGUCAUGCUGAAAGACUCAGCCACGUUUCAUCUUCAAUGCCUUGCUGAUGGAAGGAGGUUUUCACUCAAAAUCGCACGAUACAUGGCCCCAUUCAUUCUUUCCUUUACACGGAUCAGUCGUCCUGGUCCCUUUGCAGAAAAACAACCCCAAAGCAUGAUGUUUCCACCCCCAUGCUUCACAGUAGGUAUGGUGUUCUUUGGAUGCAACUCAGCAUUCUUUGUCCUCCAAACACGACAAGUUGAGUUUUUACCAAAAAGUUAUAUUUUGGUUUCAUCUGGCCAUAUGACAUUCUCCCAAUCUUCUUCUGGAUCAUCCAAAUGCUCUCUAGCAAACUUCAGACGGCCCUGGACAUGUACUGGCUUAAGCAGGGGGACACGUCUGGCACUGCAGGAUUUGAGUCCCUGGCGGCGUAGUGUGUUACUGAUGGUAGGCUUUGUUACUUUGGUCCCAGCUCUCUGCAGGUCAUUCACUAGGUCCCCCCGUGUGGUUCUGGGAUUUUUGCUCACCGUUCUUGUGUUCAUUUUGACCCCACGGGGUGAGAUCUUGCGUGGAGCCCCAGAUCGAGGGAGAUUAUCAGUGGUCUUGUAUGUCUUCCAUUUCCUAAUAAUUGCUCCAACAGUUGAUUUCUUCAAACCAAGCUGCUUACCUAUUGCAGAUUCAGUCUUCCCAGCCUGGUGCAGGUCUACAAUUUUGUUUCUGGUGUCUUUUGACAGCUCUUUGGUCUUGGCCAUAGUGGAGUUUGGAGUGUGA